GACGAACGCUGGCGGCGUGCUUAACACAUGCAAGUCGAGCGGAAAGGCCCUUCGGGGUACUCGAGCGGCGAACGGGUGAGUAACACGUGAGUAACCUGCCCCAGACUUUGGGAUAACCCUCGGAAACGGGGGCUAAUACCGGAUACGACACAGCUUCGCAUGGGGUCUGUGUGGAAAGUUUUUCGGUUUGGGAUGGGCUCGCGGCCUAUCAGCUUGUUGGUGGGGUGAUGGCCUACCAAGGCGACGACGGGUAGCCGGCCUGAGAGGGCGACCGGCCACACUGGGACUGAGACACGGCCCAGACUCCUACGGGAGGCAGCAGUGGGGAAUAUUGCACAAUGGGCGGAAGCCUGAUGCAGCGACGCCGCGUGAGGGAUGACGGCCUUCGGGUUGUAAACCUCUGUCAGCAGGGACGAAGCGUAAGUGACGGUACCUGCAGAAGAAGCGCCGGCCAACUACGUG
Molecule: ribosomal RNA, 462 nt
Filed under: uncultured bacterium
Lineage: Bacteria
Description: partial 16S ribosomal RNA
Rfam family: Bacterial small subunit ribosomal RNA
Source: RNAcentral